UGGGGAAUUUUGGACAAUGGGGGAAACCCUGAUCCAGCCAUCCCGCGUGUGUGAUGAAGGCCUUCGGGUUGUAAAGCACUUUUGGCAGGAAAGAAACGUCGCGGGUUAAUACCCCGCGAAACUGACGGUACCUGCAGAAUAAGCACCGGCUAACUACGUGCCAGCAGCCGCGGUAAUACGUAGGGUGCAAGCGUUAAUCGGAAUUACUGGGCGUAAAGCGUGCGCAGGCGGUUCGGAAAGAAAGAUGUGAAAUCCCAGAGCUUAACUUUGGAACUGCAUUUUUAACUACCGGGCUAGAGUGUGUCAGAGGGAGGUGGAAUUCCGCGUGUAGCAGUGAAAUGCGUAGAUAUGCGGAGGAACACCGAUGGCGAAGGCAGCCUCCUGGGAUAACACUGACGCUCAUGCACGAAAGCGUGGGGAGCAAACAGGAUUAGAUACCCUGGUAGUCCACGCCCUAAACGAUGUCAACUAGCUGUUGGGGCCUUCGGGCCUUGGUAGCGCAGCUAACGCGUGAAGUUGACCGCCUGGGGAGUACGGUCGCAAGAUUAAAACUUAAAUGAAUUG
RNAcentral lists this ribosomal RNA (564 nucleotides) under uncultured bacterium. RNAcentral's name for it is "partial 16S ribosomal RNA". It matches the Rfam family "Bacterial small subunit ribosomal RNA", at positions 355 to 912 of the family's 1533-position model. The record is from RNAcentral.